RNAcentral lists this ribosomal RNA (1434 nucleotides) under uncultured organism. RNAcentral's name for it is "16S ribosomal RNA". It matches the Rfam family "Bacterial small subunit ribosomal RNA". The record is from RNAcentral.
CGCUGGCGGCGUGCUUAGCACAUGCAAGUCGAACGGAAAGGCCCUGCUUUUGUGGGGUGCUCGAGUGGCGAACGGGUGAGUAACACGUGAGUAACCUGCCCUUGACUUUGGGAUAACUUCAGGAAACUGGGGCUAAUACCGGAUAGGAGCUCCUGCUGCAUGGUGGGGGUUGGAAAGUUUCGGCGGUUGGGGAUGGACUCGCGGCUUAUCAGCUUGUUGGUGGGGUAGUGGCUUACCAAGGCUUUGACGGGUAGCCGGCCUGAGAGGGUGACCGGCCACAUUGGGACUGAGAUACGGCCCAGACUCCUACGGGAGGCAGCAGUGGGGAAUAUUGCACAAUGGGCGGAAGCCUGAUGCAGCAACGCCGCGUGCGGGAUGACGGCCUUCGGGUUGUAAACCGCUUUCGCCUGUGACGAAGCGUGAGUGACGGUAAUGGGUAAAGAAGCACCGGCUAACUACGUGCCAGCAGCCGCGGUGAUACGUAGGGUGCGAGCGUUGUCCGGAUUUAUUGGGCGUAAAGGGCUCGUAGGUGGUUGAUCGCGUCGGAAGUGUAAUCUUGGGGCUUAACCCUGAGCGUGCUUUCGAUACGGGUUGACUUGAGGAAGGUAGGGGAGAAUGGAAUUCCUGGUGGAGCGGUGGAAUGCGCAGAUAUCAGGAGGAACACCAGUGGCGAAGGCGGUUCUCUGGGCCUUUCCUGACGCUGAGGAGCGAAAGCGUGGGGAGCGAACAGGCUUAGAUACCCUGGUAGUCCACGCUGUAAACGGUGGGUACUAGGUGUGGGGUCCAUUCCACGGGUUCCGUGCCGUAGCUAACGCUUUAAGUACCCCGCCUGGGGAGUACGGCCGCAAGGCUAAAACUCAAAGGAAUUGACGGGGCCCCGCACAAGCGGCGGAGCAUGCGGAUUAAUUCGAUGCAACGCGUAGAACCUUACCUGGGUUUGACAUGGAUCGGGAGUGCUCAGAGAUGGGUGUGCCUCUUUUGGGGUCGGUUCACAGGUGGUGCAUGGCUGUCGUCAGCUCGUGUCGUGAGAUGUUGGGUUAAGUCCCGCAACGAGCGCAACCCUUGUUCACUGUUGCCAGCACGUUAUGGUGGGGACUCAGUGGAGACCGCCGGGGUCAACUCGGAGGAAGGUGGGGAUGACGUCAAGUCAUCAUGCCCCUUAUGUCCAGGGCUUCACGCAUGCUACAAUGGCUGGUACAGAGAGUGGCGAGCCUGUGAGGGUGAGCGAAUCUCGGAAAGCCGGUCUCAGUUCGGAUUGGGGUCUGCAACUCGACCUCAUGAAGUCGGAGUCGCUAGUAAUCGCAGAUCAGCAACGCUGCGGUGAAUACGUUCCCGGGGCUUGUACACACCGCCCGUCAAGUCAUGAAAGUUGGUAACACCCGAAGCCGGUGGCCUAACCGUUGUGGGGGAGCCGUCGAAGGUGGGACUGGUGAU